RNAcentral lists this ribosomal RNA (445 nucleotides) under uncultured bacterium. RNAcentral describes it as "partial 16S ribosomal RNA". It matches the Rfam family "Bacterial small subunit ribosomal RNA", at positions 331 to 792 of the family's 1533-position model. The record is from RNAcentral.
CCAGACUCCUACGGGAGGCAGCAGUAGGGAAUAUUGCUCAAUGGGGGAAACCCUGAUGCAGCGACGCCGCGUGUGGGAAGACGGUCUUCUGGAUUGUAAACCACUGUCCCCAGGGACGAAAAUGACGGUACCUGGGGAGGAAGCUCCGGCUAACUACGUGCCAGCAGCCGCGGUAAUACGUAGGGGGCAAGCGUUAUCCGGAUUUACUGGGUGUAAAGGGAGCGUAGACGGCAAUGCAAGCCAGAUGUGAAAGCCCGGGGCUCAACCCCGGGACUGCAUUUGGAACUGUGUAGCUGGAGUGUCGGAGAGGCAGGCGGAAUUCCUAGUGUAGCGGUGAAAUGCGUAGAUAUUAGGAGGAACACCAGUGGCGAAGGCGGCCCGCUGGACGAUGACUGACGUUGAGGCUCGAAAGCGUGGGGAGCAAACAGGAUUAGAUACCCGGGUA